GAUGAAGCCCUUCGGGGUGGAUUAGUGGCGAACGGGUGAGUAACACGUGGGCAAUCUGCCCUUCACUCUGGGACAAGCCCUGGAAACGGGGUCUAAUACCGGAUACGACGCGCUCGGGCAUCCGAUGUGCGUGGAAAGCUCCGGCGGUGAAGGAUGAGCCCGCGGCCUAUCAGCUUGUUGGUGAGGUAACGGCUCACCAAGGCGACGACGGGUAGCCGGCCUGAGAGGGCGACCGGCCACACUGGGACUGAGACACGGCCCAGACUCCUACGGGAGGCAGCAGUGGGGAAUAUUGCACAAUGGGCGAAAGCCUGAUGCAGCGACGCCGCGUGAGGGAUGACGGCCUUCGGGUUGUAAACCUCUUUCAGCAGGGAAGAAGCGAAAGUGACGGUACCUGCAGAAGAAGCGCCGGCUAACUACGUGCCAGCAGCCGCGGUAAUACGUAGGGCGCGAGCGUUGUCCGGAAUUAUUGGGCGUAAAGAGCUCGUAGGCGGUCUGUCGCGUCGGAUGUGAAAGCCCGGGGCUUAACCCCGGGUCUGCAUUCGAUACGGGCAGACUAGAGUGUGGUAGGGGAGAUCGGAAUUCCUGGUGUAGCGGUGAAAUGCGCAGAUAUCAGGAGGAACACCGGUGGCGAAGGCGGAUCUCUGGGCCAUUACUGACGCUGAGGAGCGAAAGCGUGGGGAGCGAACAGGAUUAGAUACCCUGGUAGUCCACGCCGUAAACGGUGGGAACUAGGUGUUGGCGACAUUCCACGUCGUCGGUGCCGCAGCUAACGCAUUAAGUUCCCCGCCUGGGGAGUACGGCCGC
Molecule: ribosomal RNA, 807 nt
Filed under: Streptomyces sp.
Lineage: Bacteria; Bacillati; Actinomycetota; Actinomycetes; Kitasatosporales; Streptomycetaceae
Description: bacterial SSU rRNA
Rfam family: Bacterial small subunit ribosomal RNA
Source: RNAcentral